AUUGAACGCUGGCGGCAGGCCUAACACAUGCAAGUCGAGCGGAGCGGCGGACGGGUGAGUAAUUCCUAGGUAUCUGACUGGUAGUGGGGGAUAACGUCCGGAAACGGGCGCUAAUACCGAAUACUUUCAGAUGAGUCUAGGUCGGUUUAGCUAGUUGGUGGGGUAAAGGCCUACCCAGGCGACGAUCCGUAACUGGUUUGAGAGGAUGAUCAGUCACACUGGAACUGAGACACGGUCCAGACUCCUACGGGAGGCAGCAGUGGGGAAUAUUGGACAAUGGGCGAAAGCCUGAUCCAGCCAUGCCGCGUGUGUGAAGAAGGUCUUCGGAUUGUAAAGCACUUUAAGUUGGGAGGCGUUACCAACAGAAGAAGCACCGGCUAACUUCGUGCCAGCAGCCGCGGUAAUUC
RNAcentral lists this ribosomal RNA (407 nucleotides) under uncultured bacterium. RNAcentral's name for it is "partial 16S ribosomal RNA". It matches the Rfam family "Bacterial small subunit ribosomal RNA", at positions 30 to 526 of the family's 1533-position model. The record is from RNAcentral.